RNAcentral lists this unclassified non-coding RNA (3853 nucleotides) under Apis dorsata (giant honeybee). Its description in RNAcentral is "5'-3' exoribonuclease 2 homolog, transcript variant X1". Lineage: Eukaryota; Metazoa; Arthropoda; Insecta; Hymenoptera; Apidae. The record is from RNAcentral.
UACUAAAGAUGGCAGCACAUAAGUUGAGAUUGUGUACUAAGUUUAAUCUAUAAAUCUAUGUUAUAGGUUAAAUAUGAGUGUACGAUUAAAACAGUUGUACUCGUUUCAUUUAUCAACAAAUUUUUGAAAACGAUUAAAAAAAAAAAAAAUAAGUCGUUUAGAGAAAUACGAAUUAAUAAUAGAAAAUGGGUGUACCAGCAUUUUUUAGAUGGUUGAGUCGAAAAUACCCUUCUGUAAUAGUAGAAUGUAUCGAGCAGAAGCCGAUAACUACGAAUGGUAUACGAGUACCAGUGAAUUCGGCAGAACCAAAUCCAAAUGGAAUAGAAUUUGAUAACUUAUACCUUGAUAUGAAUGGCAUUAUACAUCCUUGUACUCAUCCUGAAGAUAGACCUGCACCACAAAAUGAGGAUGAAAUGAUGGAAGCUAUUUUUGAAUGCAUUGACCGUUUAUUUCGCAUUGUAAGACCAAGAAAAUUACUUUACAUGGCAAUUGAUGGAGUUGCACCCAGAGCAAAAAUGAAUCAACAAAGAUCAAGACGAUUUAGAGCAUCAAAAGAAGCAAGUGAAAAAAUUAACGAAAUAAAAAGAAUACGUUCUGAAUUAUCUCUUAAAGGAGCAUCUUUACCUCCUGAAAAACCAAAAGAAGAGCAUUUUGAUAGCAAUUGCAUUACACCGGGCACACCAUUUAUGGCAAGAUUAUCAAAAUGUUUGCAUUAUUAUAUACAUGACCGUUUAAAUAAUGAUCCUGGAUGGAGAAAUAUAAAAGUAAUUUUAAGUGAUGCAAAUGUGCCAGGAGAAGGAGAACAUAAAAUAAUGGAUUUUAUACGUAGACAAAGAGCACAACCUGAUCAUGAUCCUAAUACACAACACGUUUUAUGUGGAGCUGAUGCUGAUUUAAUUAUGUUGGGUCUUGCAACUCAUGAACCUAAUUUUACUAUUAUUCGUGAAGAGUUUAAGCCAAAUAAACCAAAACCAUGUGAUAUAUGUGGUCAAUUAGGACAUGAAAUGCAGGAAUGUACGGGUGCAGAGCCUAAUCAGAGGGAAGAAGCGAAUACUUUUGGAUCUGAAUGCCAGUAUAUAUUUGUGCGAUUAAAUGUACUCAGAGAAUAUUUAGAAAGAGAAUUGCAAAUGCCUAAUCUACCAUUUAAAUACGAUUUCGAGCGAGUUAUCGAUGAUUGGGUGUUCAUGUGUUUCUUCGUAGGAAACGAUUUUCUUCCUCAUCUUCCAUCUUUGGAAAUUAGAGAAGGGGCAAUAGAUAGACUUGUUAAUUUAUAUAAAAAAACAGUAUAUAAAACAGGAGGAUUUUUAACAGAUAGUGGAGAUGUUAAUUUAGAUAGAGUUCAACUUAUAAUGUCUGAAUUAGGCGAUGUUGAAGAUGAAAUUUUCAAGAAAAGACAACAGAAUGAAUUAGCCUAUAAACAACGUGAAAAAGAUAAAAAAAGAAGAUUAUUGGGAAUCAGUAAUAAUAAACCAAAAUGGAUUCCUACGGGACAAUUUGCACCGACGCGUAUUGGUGAACAUAUUAAACCGGUACAAAAUGCGCGUUAUGAAGCUUACCAAAUGCGUAUUCAUGGUCAAAAUUAUCAUACAAGUGAAAAAGGAAAUGCUAAGGAGAUGUUAGAAAGUAUGAUACGUCCUGAAAAUUCGACUGAUCAUGAACGAAAACGAAAAAGUGAAGUACUUGAAGAUGAUUCAGAUGAUGAUCAAUCUCACGAUGAAGUUAGAUUAUGGGAAGAUGGUUUUAAAGAUCGUUAUUAUGAAUCAAAAUUUGAUGUUUCUCCUGAUAAUUUGGCAUUCAGAAAUAAUGUGGCAUUGCAAUAUGUACGUGGUUUGUGUUGGGUUUUACGAUAUUAUUAUCAAGGUUGUGCUUCAUGGAAAUGGUAUUUUCCGUAUCAUUAUGCUCCAUUUGCUAGCGAUUUCAUCAAUAUUGGCGGUCUUUCUACCGAAUUUGAAAAAGGAACUAUACCAUUCCGUCCAUUAGAACAAUUGAUGGGUGUAUUUCCAGCGGCUAGUAGUAAACACGUUCCUGUACCAUGGGCAAAAUUAAUGAGUGAUCCAAAAUCACCAAUUAUUGAUUUUUAUCCAGAAGAUUUUAAAAUUGAUUUAAAUGGUAAAAAAUUUGCUUGGCAAGGAGUAGCUUUACUUCCUUUUGUGGAUGAAAAACGUUUAUUCAAGGCAUUAGAGCCAUAUUACGAUUGUUUGACAGAAGCAGAAAAAAUACGAAAUGUUCGAGGAGAUGAUCGAUUAUAUGUAGGACUGGGUAAUAGUGGUUAUAAUUUUAUGAAGGGACUUUAUACGAAUCAUGUACGAUCCGAUGCAGAAACUUCAAUAUGUAUAGAUGGUAUGCGAGGUACGGUUUUAUUGACAGAAGAUUGUGUCGGAGACGGAGCUACUUUACCUUCGCCUAUAAAUGGAUUAUUACCAAUUAGGAAUAAUAAAGUGUAUUGUAUUAAAUUCAGAGAUCCAAAAUAUAGUAGUAAUUUUAUUUUCCCUGCGAAAAAAUUGAAAGGUGUUAGAGAACCACCAAAAGUUUUGAAACCUCAAGAUUUUGAUCAAAUGAAUCGUAAUACUGGAAAUACUUGGAAACCACAAAUUGGUUUCACUUCUUCGACACAAAUAGCUUCAUUAACUGAGGCAGGCAAAAGAAUACUUGGGCAUUAUACGAACCAUAAUAGAGUGCCACCAUCAUACAACCCAAUACCAAUACCACAAACAUUAUAUUCACAGCAUCACGGUUACCAAAGUACGAAUUAUCAAGGAGGAUACGAUGGUGGACAUAACCAGCUUGCAAUGGUGCCUGGUCCAUGGGCAAGGGGAUAUGGCACUCCGCACAAUUAUCACCAACGUUAUCCGGAGUAUCAGCAAAAGAAUAAUUAUAAUGUUCAGCAAUAUGGGCGAAAUAAUUAUCAAAAUCCACAAUAUAGUAGUUAUGGUUCGCAGUAUAAUCAACAACGGAAUUAUUCUUCUAACUACCAAGGGAAUAGUGGUGAAAGUGGGGGAAGUAGGGGAGGAGGAUGGAGACGGUCAACGUAGACCUUUCUCUAUUUUUGAUUAAUGCCAUCACAGAUCUUGAAUUUAGAUUUAUAAGAUUUUUCGUUUAUAAUCUAGAACUCUGGAAUUUAUGUUUAGAUUCAGGAAUCUAUCAACAAAUAUAAUAGAUGCAUAAUAUGAUCUAUGAUGGCAAUUAUUAUUCUAUAACUUAGGAACAUAAGCAGUAUCAAGUAUAAUUUUAUAUGAACUUUAAUGUGAAUAUACAUAUUCACAAGAAACUGUAUGAUAACAACCAUCGCUGAAGAUUGCACCUUGGCUAUAAAAAUUCAGAUAGAAAUAGAAGGAACAAUCUUUAAGCGAACGCGACUUGUUAACAUAAAUUGAAUUGUACAAUCAAAACUCAAGUAAUCAUGUUAAAUGUUUUUCUUGUAUGAUUAUUGUUAGUCAAUGCAAUUUAGUUCACAUAAAAAAAUUUUAAACUUUGUGAAGAUUAUUCAUCUAUUCUCGACGUCAGUCAGUUUAAUUAUAUAUUCUGUUAUUACAAUACCAUGAUUAUAUCUAAUCAUUGUUUGUAAUAUGGAAUAUUAAUUCAAACAUUAUUCAUUCCUUAGUAGAUUUCGUCAUAUAUAAUACGAUACGAUGAAUAAUCUCAUUUUGUUAAAAAAUUUUAACCUUAAUUUUAUAGCCUUGUUGUCAUGACUUCAGUUUCAUCGGAUAUCCAUCGUGUAUACAUAUCGUUCGUGUACAACCAAUUGAAAGGAAUAUAUAUAUAUAUAUAAAUCCUUUUCAUUAUACACUAACUUGCACAUCACACGUGGAAACUUUUUUAUUGUAUUCACUUGAACAAAAAAAAAAAAAAAAAA